ACUUCCCCCGUCCUCUCAGCUCUGGGAAGGGUGGGGUGGUCAUGAAGUCCUGAGAGAGCAGAGGGACACACCAACUUCUCUUGUUGGUUCCCUCAACCCUGCCCAUACCUAUGGGUAAUCAGAGAUGGAUUCAGUCUCCAGUUAGGAUCCUCAUCAAGGUAUUUGUAUGGGGGAUUCCAUGCAGAUGGUGUAUAGAGAGAAGAUAGACACAAGGGGAUCUUCAUAGCCAAGGACUGGAUUUGAACAAGUCAGUCUCCAGCUAUGUUUUAGACACUGAGGACUGUGCCCGUCAUCCCUUAGAGCUUCUCUCUGGGCCACUGGCUCGAAGGGCACAUCUCAGGGAAAAAGGUCAGUGUGAUUCCCUUAUUUCUUUGUGGAAAGACCUCAGUAGCCAAAGGUGUUUGCCCGUGUUAUUUGUCUGAACAAGAUCUUCUCUAGGACAGCUAGGUCCACAGGACAGCACCAAGAGUUACUCUGCAUGCUUAUAGUACCUGCUUACGAACAGAAACAGAGGCAAUAUUCACAUGAAAGCUCAAAUGUGGAUCUCUCCUACCAUAGUCACGUCUUCACAAGCUGACAGCCCUCUCAAUUCUGAGAUUUGUUAUUCAGUCUUUUCCCAAUAGGAUCUACAAAGCACCUCUUGACCAUUUAUCAUGCAUGGAACCAACAUGUCAAAUUCCUCAAUAACUGAUUCCCGCCUAGGAUCACACUCAUUGACUAGCUCCGCCAAUUCUUACAAUUCAUUCAGGCUCUGCUACAAGCAUACAGCUUUGCUAGAAGUAGAUUUCUUCUAGGAAAUUUCAUGCUACUGAGAGGUUGUGUGGCAGAGCCAUGUUGCCAUUCUUCCAGCAUGACUUGAUAGCUAAGUUGAACACUAUCCCAAGGAGAUGCCUCCUUGACAACUUACACUGCAAAGUGAAUCAUAACCCUGACCCUGGAGACUGCUAUAACGGGCUCCUGUGAGAGUUCUAUUUGCAGAACCCAGAAUUCACAACGGAACAUCAACAUAUCCAAAAGACAAGUUUCAAUGAACAGAUUCUCAGCAAAAGGACUCUAAGGAUGCAGAGGAAGGGAAGUCACCCAAUCUGGGAAGGAGGUUCCUUUCAAGACAAUGCUACCUCCCAAGGCCAAAAUGAUCUAAAGGCAUUUGGAGAUAACUCAAGUAGAAGUCUCU
Molecule: long non-coding RNA, 1174 nt
Filed under: Homo sapiens (human)
Lineage: Eukaryota; Metazoa; Chordata; Mammalia; Primates; Hominidae
Description: non-protein coding lnc-SDSL-6:5
Source: RNAcentral